GGGGGUAUGGCUUAGUGGCAGAGCAUUCGAUUGCAGAUCGACUGAUCCCCGGUUCGAAUCCGGGUGCCCCCU
Trichonephila clavata is the source of this 72-nucleotide non-coding RNA. NCBI's taxonomy places the organism in Eukaryota, Metazoa, Arthropoda, Arachnida, Araneae, Nephilidae. The record is from the annotation of a GenBank genome assembly.